This 3574-nucleotide long non-coding RNA is filed under the name Pan troglodytes (chimpanzee). RNAcentral's name for it is "lncRNA (ENSPTRG00000053350.1)". The record is from RNAcentral. Lineage: Eukaryota; Metazoa; Chordata; Mammalia; Primates; Hominidae.
AUAAAUGAAAGAAAGAAAAAAAGAAAAGAAAAGAAAGAGAAAAUAAAAGAAAAAGCACUGUAUCGCUACUGGGCUAGGAGCUUCUCUCUUUCUAUCUGUUUCUCUCUGUCUCUCUGUGUUUGUCUCUGUCUUUCUCUCUCUGUCUCUUUCUCUGUCUGUCUCUUUCUUUCCCUCUGUCUCUGUCUCUCUCUCUCUCUGCCUGUCUGUGUCUGUCUUCUGUCUUACUUUCUCUGCCCGUCUGUCUGUCUCUCUCUCUCCUUCCCUGUCUGUUUCUCUCUGUCUCUCUGUCUGUCUCUGUUUUUCUCUGUCUAUCUCUUUCUCUGUCUGUCUGCCUCUCUCUUUCUUUUUCUGUGUCUCUCUGUCUGUCUCUAUCUCUCUCUGUCUCUCGCUCUCUCUGCCUAUCUUGUCUUACUGUCUUUCUCUGCCUAUCUGUCUCUCUCUGUCUCUCCCUCCCUUUGUUUCUCUCUCUCUCUCACUCUCUCUCUGUCUGUUUCUCUGUCUCUCUCUUUCUCUGUUUCUCAGUGUCUCUCUCUGUCCAUCUCUGUCUUUCUCUGUCUCUUUCUCUCUGUCUCUGUCUCUCUGUCUCUCUGCCUGUCUCUCUCACUGUGUCUGUCUUCUGUCUUACUCUCCUUCUCUGCCUGUCCGUCUGUCUGUCUCUCUCUCUCUCCCUCCCUUUCUGUUUCCUGUUUCUCUCUCUGUCUCUCUCUGUCUGUCUCUUUCUCUGUCUGUCUGUCUCUCUCUCACUCUGCCUGUCUCACUGUGUCUGACUUCUGUCUCUCUCUUUCUCUCUCUCUGCCUGUCUCACUGUGUCUGUCUUCUGUCUUACUCUCUUUCUCUGCCCAUCUGUCUGUCUCUCUCUGUCUGUUUCUCUCUGUCUCUCUCUGUCCAUCUCUGUUUUUCUCUGUCUGUGUCUUUCUCUGUCUGUCUGCCUCUUUCUUUUUCUGUGUCUCUGUCUGCCUGUCUCUCUCUCUGUGCCUAUCUUCUGUCUUACUCUCUUUCUCUGCCUGUCUGUCUCUCUCUCUGUCUCUUCCUCCCUUUCUGUUUGUCUCUCUUUCUCUCACUCCCUCUGUCUGUUUCUCUCUGUCUCUCUUUCUGUUUCUCACUGUCUCUCUCUGUCCAUCUCUUUCUCUCUGUCUCUGUCUCUCUCUGCCUGUCUCUCUCACUGUGUCUGUCUUCUGUCUUACUCUCCUUCUCUGCCUGUCCGUCUGUCUGUCUCUCUCUCUCUCCCUGCCUUUCUGUUUCUCUCUCUCUCUGUCUCUCUCUCUUUCUGUCUGCUUCUGUCUCUCUCUGCCCAUCUCUGUCUUUCUCUGUCUGUCUCUCUCUUUCUUUCUCUCUGUCUCUGUCUCUCUCUCUCUCUCUGCCUGUCUCUCUCACUGUGUCUGUCUUCUGUCUUACUCUCCUUCUCUGCUUGUCCAUCUGUCUGUCUGUCUCUCUCCCUCCCUUUCUGUUUCUCUCUCUCUCUCUUUCUGUCUGUUUCUCUCUUUCUCUCUCUGUCUGUCUCUGUCUUUGUCUGUCUCUUUCUUUCUCUCUGUCUCUGUCUCUCUCUCUGCCUGUCUCACUGUGUCUGUCUUCUGUCUUAUUCUCCUUCUCUGCCUGUCUGUCUCUUUCUUUCUCUCUGUCUCUGUCUCUCUCUCUCUCUGCCUGUCUCACUGUGUCUGUCUUCUGUCUUAUUCUCCUUCUCUGCCUGUCUCUCUCUCUCUUUCUGUCUGUUUGUCUCUCUCUCUCCCUCCCUUUCUGUUUCUCUCUCUCUGUUUCUGUUUCUCUCUUUCUUUCUCUGUCUGUCUCUGUCUUUGUCUCUUUCUCUGUCUGUCUCUUUCUUUCUCUCUGUCUCUGUCUCUCUCUCUGCCUGUCUCACUGUGUCUGUCUUCUGUCUUAUUCUCCUUCUCUGCCUGUCUGUCUCUCUCUCUCUCUUCCUGUCUGUUUCUCUCUCUCUCUUUCUGUUUCUUUCUCUCUGUGUCUGUCUCUGUCUGUCUUUCUUUUUCUCUGUCUCUCUGUCUCUCUCUCUCUCUGUGCCUGUCUCUCUGUCUGUGCCUGUCUUCUGUCUUACUUUCUUUCUCUGCCUGUCUGUCUGUCUCUGUUUCUCUGUCCGUCUCCCUCCCUCCCUGUCUGUUUCUCUCUGUCUCUGUCUCUCUCUCUGUUUCUGUCUCUCUCUGUCCAUCUCUGUCUUUCUCUCUCUGUCUCUUUCUCUGCCUGUCACUCCCUUUCUUUCUCUCUGUCUGUCUCUCUCUCUCUCUGUCUCUGUCACUGUGUCUGUCUUCUGUCUUACUCUCUUUCUCUGCCUGUCAGUCUCUCUCUCUCUCUCUGUCUGUCCCCCUGCCUUUCUGUUUCUCUCUCUGUCUCUCUUUCUCUUUGUCUCUGUCUGUCUCUUUCUUUCUUUGUCUUUCUCUCUGUCUCUGUCUCUCUCUGUCUCUCUGCCUGUCUCUCUGUCUGUCUGUCUCUCUCCCUCCAUGUCUCUCUCUCUCUCUCACUCAUUCUCCGUCUCUCUCUCUUUCUGUCUGUUUCUCUCUAUCUCUCUCUGUCCAUCUCUGUCUUUCUAUGUCUGUCUCUUUCUCUGUCAGUCUGUCAGACACCCCCGUGCCGGGUAGGGCCCUGCCCCUUCCACGAAAGUGAGAAGCGCGUGCUUCGGUGCUUAGAGAGGCCGAGAGAAAUCUAGACAGGCGGGCCUUGCUGGGCUUCCCCACUCGGUGUAUGAUUUCGGGAGGUCGAGGCCGGGUCCCCGCUUGGAUGCGAGGGGCAUUUUCAGACUUUUCUCUCGGUCACGUGUGGCGUCCGUACUUCUCCUAUUUCCCUGAUAAGCUCCUCGACUUAAAAAUAAACGGUUAAGGCCGGGCACGGUGGCUCACAUCUGUCAUCCCAGCACUUUGGGACGCCGAGGCGGGUGGAUCACCUGAGGUUGGGAGUUCGAGACCAGCCUUGCCAACACGGCGAAACCCCGUCUCUACUAAAAAUACAAAACUGAGUCAGGAGCGGUGGGGCAGGUGCCUGUAAUGCCAGCUACUUGGGAGGCUGAGGCUGGAGAAUCACUUGAACCUGGGAGGCGGAGGCUGCAGUGAGCUGAGAUUGCACCACUGCACUACAGCCCAGGCUGUAGAGUGAGUGAGACUCUGUCUCUAAAUAAAUAAAUAAAUAAAUAAAUAAAUAAAUAAAUAAAUAAAUACAUUCUUUUCCGUGCUGACUGACAUUUGCAGGCAUCGGUUGUCUUCGGGCAUCACCUAGCGGCCACUGUUAUUGAAAGUUGAGGUCACACGGAGGGAGGUCUCCCUGACUUCACCGAACCUGGGGCAACGGGUUUCUCUCUCUCCCUUCUGGAGGUCCCUCCCUCUCUCCCUCGUUGCCUAGGGAACCUCUGCCCUGGCGGGGGCCCUAUUGUUCUUUGAUCAGCGCUUUAGUUUUCUUUGUGUGUUGGUUUCUUUCAUGUGCAUAGACUCUUCUACUUGGGAUUUAGGAGGGGUCAGUUUAAUUUUCAAGUCGCCCCUCGGCUCCCCCCACUACCCACAUCCCUUUACCUUCAUUUAGUGAGUCAGUUAGGUGGGUUCCCCCCAAACCCCACCCCCCGCCUCCCGACACCCUGCUU